This 1988-nucleotide unclassified non-coding RNA is filed under the name Exaiptasia diaphana. Its description in RNAcentral is "uncharacterized LOC110232932, transcript variant X1". The record is from RNAcentral. Lineage: Eukaryota; Metazoa; Cnidaria; Anthozoa; Actiniaria; Aiptasiidae.
UUGUUAUUUCUAUUUUGAGAAAAUGAGGUUUUUCGUAGUGUUUUCUGUGUUGUCGCUGGUUAUAGUAGUUUUUGACACUUCGUACUGUGCAAAUAAAAAAUAUUGCUGUAAACGUGGAAAGACAAGAAGAAUAAAAUGCAAGACUGGCGAUUUGUACAAAGCUGACAAAACUCUGGCAAGAGUUCUAUCCAGCGAAGAAGGCNAGUUGAUCUGCCUAUAUCACCGGGACGAAGCAAAAAUGAUGGAUAAUCGGUGCUCGUUUCCGGCAUCUUCAUGUCACACUAAGUCCUUGGUUACGAUACCCGAACGUCUUUAUCUCUCGCUGGACUGGGUUGGACAGCAAAAAAAAGAAUACAGGCCUGGAACAAAAUGGUGUACCAGCUGCAGAAAGAAUGGCGAAAAGCAUUUAAAACAAAACGUUCCUUCUCUAUACGUGCCACCCAAAAGAAGAAAGGUUAUAACACCUGUCUAAAAAAAAUAUUUAUUUAUUUUGUACUCGGUAUUUACACACACCAUUUAUCUGGGUUUUGGCUGUUUGACUCUAGCAACAACUUCAGUUCAUGCCAAUAAACUUGUUCUCCAAGAACACAGCUGUCCAAGAUUUGCAGUGUGUCAACAUUCCCCUUGUUGCUGUUAUGUGAGGCAAUUGAGAAAGGUAAAGAGUCUACAUGUACUAAUUCAGCAACUCUAACAAAACAAGUAAAGACAAUAGAAUGUCACCUAAGUACCGUAUUUCACCGNCUAAACAUGCUAUGUGGUCAGUCAACUAUUGAAACUCCUUAUGGAAAUGUUCAAUGUUUGACAAAUGGAGUCAUANAAGUGGAUGGAGACAUCUGGGGGAAAAUGGCAAGUGUGCUGAAUAAACUAGAUCAGUUAGAAGGCAUGAAGUUUGAAAAUCAAAUUGCCAAUUUUCAAACUGCUCUAUACAACCACUAUGCAAACAUGGGUCCUGACAUUUAUAACCCAAGUUUAAUGAGAGAAUUUGCAGAUAAAACUUCCACUGGUCUUUUUGAUAAAAUACUUAACGCAAUAUCAAGAGAUGACAACAGAGUACAAAGUAAAAGAAAAGAUAUUCUUGAACAAAGGACAGUUGCUUUGCUUCAUAGUCUUGCAUACUUCAGGUCUCAGAAAACUUCUAUCUAGCUAAUCAUGGAUUAUCCAGGGUAGGCCAGUCAGCAGGACAUAUCAUUGGUGACUCUGUACACAGAAGAUCCAUAGACUUUGAAAGAGAGAAGAUGGUCAAAGGUCAUAGUUCAUUAUCACAAUCACAAAUAAAAACUGCAAUUGAUAAAUCAUAUUUGAUUAUUAAUAUGAUUGACGACUUCCAUGUUAUCAGCUCCCCUAAGCAACCGCUUGACCUUAUAAAAACAACAUCCAUUGACAUGAUGACAAGUCUACUUGACAUACCUACAGUUCCUUCAAUACCAAGACCAGAGAAUAGCACUAAUAUCCACAGAACAGUGAGGAUUGAAAUUACAAAAAAUGAAACAAAAGACUGCCGAGGUGGGAUAUGCCAUGAGAAUACCAGUCGUUUCGAGACAUUGCCUUUUCGAGACACGUAUUUUCGGUUGUUUCGAGACACAUCGUAUGGACGGUUCGAGACAUGUCUAUGGUCACUUCGAGACAUAUAUAAAAAUAAUAUAUAAGUGUCAUAUAACAUAAAGUAAUGAAGGGCAAAAGGCUUUUUGGACAGUUUGAAGAGAAAAUCAUGACAUUUGAAGACUUUUUGACGACCUUCAUUAGCCGUCUUCGGCACGCCAUUUUGUUUUGAAAUCGACAACUUUACCGCGUUAUUUUCAAUCGUUACGGAGCUAUUGUAUUCAAAACAUUCAAAGUUAUACUAGAAAUCAGAACAUAGUUUAUAUCAACUUGAGUUUUCGAUCAAAAGAUUAAGGAAUUUUGUAACGCAAAGACAUUUUACACUCGAAUUUUACGAAGUCACGCCGUGUUUGUUGUCAUGUCUCGAAACAACUUUACAUAAAGAUUGU